GGUCAAGCGAACAAGUGCAUGUGGUGGAUGCCUUGGCGAUCACAGGCGAUGAAGGACGCGGUAGCCUGCGAAAAGCUACGGGGAGCUGGCAAACGAGCUUUGAUCCGUAGAUGUCCGAAUGGGGAAACCCACUCCUUUUGGAGUAUCCAUGGCUGAAUACAUAGGCCAUGUGAAGCGAACGCGGUGAACUGAAACAUCUAAGUAACCGCAGGAAAAGAAAUCAACCGAGAUUCCCAAAGUAGUGGCGAGCGAAAUGGGAUGAGCCUUGCACUCUUUAUUUGUAUUGUUAGCCGAACGCUCUGGAAAGUGCGGCCAUAGCAGGUGAUAGCCCUGUAGGCGAAAACAGUAUGAAAGAACUAGGUGUGCGACAAGUAGGGCGGGACACGUGAAAUCCUGUCUGAAGAUGGGGGGACCAUCCUCCAAGGCUAAAUACUCGUGAUCGACCGAUAGUGAACCAGUACCGUGAGGGAAAGGCGAAAAGAACCCCGGGAGGGGAGUGAAAUAGAUCCUGAAACCGCAUGCAUACAAACAGUCGGAGCCUCGCAAGGGGUGACGGCGUACCUUUUGUAUAAUGGGUCAGCGACUUACGUUCAGUAGCAAGCUUAACCGUAUAGGGCAGGCGUAGCGAAAGCGAGUCCGAAUAGGGCGUUCAGUUGCUGGGCGUAGACCCGAAACCAGGUGAUCUAUCCAUGGCCAGGAUGAAGGUGCGGUAACACGUACUGGAGGUCCGAACCCACUAACGUUGAAAAGUUAGGGGAUGAGCUGUGGAUAGGGGUGAAAGGCUAAACAAACCUGGAAAUAGCUGGUUCUCUCCGAAAACUAUUUAGGUAGUGCCUCGUGUCUCACCUUCGGGGGUAGAGCACUGUCAUGGUUGGGGGGUCUAUUGCAGAUUACCCCGCCAUAGCAAACUCCGAAUACCGAAGAGUGCAAUCACGGGAGACAGACAUCGGGUGCUAACGUCCGGUGUCAAGAGGGAAACAACCCAGACCGCCAGCUAAGGUCCCCAAAUAUAGCUAAGUGGGAAACGAAGUGGGAAGGCUAAAACAGUCAGGAGGUUGGCUUAGAAGCAGCCACCCUUUAAAGAAAGCGUAAUAGCUCACUGAUCGAGUCGUCCUGCGCGGAAGAUGUAACGGGGCUAAGCUAUAUACCGAAGCUGCGGAUGCGUGCUUGCACGCAUGGUAGGAGAGCGUUCCGUAAGCCUGCGAAGGUGCCUUGUAAAGGGUGCUGGAGGUAUCGGAAGUGCGAAUGCUGACAUGAGUAGCGAUAAAGGGGGUGAAAGGCCCCCUCGCCGUAAGCCCAAGGUUUCCUACGCAACGUUCAUCGGCGUAGGGUGAGUCGGCCCCUAAGGCGAGGCAGAAAUGCGUAGCUGAUGGGAAGCAGGUCAAUAUUCCUGCACCAUUGUUAGAUGCGAUGGGGGGACGGAUCGCGGAAGGUUGUCCGGGUGUUGGAAGUCCCGGUCGCUGCAUUGGAGAAGGCGCUUAGGCAAAUCCGGGCGCGUAAUUCAAGGGUGUGGCGCGAGCUCCUUAGGGAGCGAAGCAAUUGGAAGUGGUUCCAAGAAAAGCCUCUAAGCUUCAGUCUAACGAUGACCGUACCGCAAACCGACACAGGUGGGCGAGAUGAGUAUUCUAAGGCGCUUGAGAGAACUCGGGAGAAGGAACUCGGCAAAUUGGUACCGUAACUUCGGGAUAAGGUACGCCCUUGUAGCUUGACUGGCCUGCGCCAGGAGGGUGAAGGGGUUGCAAUAAACUGGUGGCUGCGACUGUUUAAUAAAAACACAGCACUCUGCAAACACGAAAGUGGACGUAUAGGGUGUGACGCCUGCCCGGUGCCGGAAGAUUAAAUGAUGGGGUGCAAGCUCUUGAUUGAAGUCCCGGUAAACGGCGGCCGUAACUAUAACGGUCCUAAGGUAGCGAAAUUCCUUGUCGGGUAAGUUCCGACCUGCACGAAUGGCGUAACGAUGGCCACACUGUCUCCUCCCGAGACUCAGCGAAGUUGAAGUGUUUGUGAUGAUGCAAUCUACCCGCGGCUAGACGGAAAGACCCCAUGAACCUUUACUGUAGCUUUGCAUUGGACUUUGAACCGAUCUGUGUAGGAUAGGUGGGAGGCUAUGAAACCGGAACGCUAGUUUCGGUGGAGCCGUCCUUGAAAUACCACCCUGGUUUGUUUGAGGUUCUAACCUUGGCCCGUGAUCCGGGUCGGGGACAGUGCAUGGUAGGCAGUUUGACUGGGGCGGUCUCCUCCCAAAGCGUAACGGAGGAGUACGAAGGUACGCUAGGUACGGUCGGAAAUCGUGCUGAUAGUGCAAUGGCAUAAGCGUGCUUAACUGCGAGACCGACAAGUCGAGCAGGUGCGAAAGCAGGUCAUAGUGAUCCGGUGGUUCUGUAUGGAAGGGCCAUCGCUCAACGGAUAAAAGGUACUCUGGGGAUAACAGGCUGAUACCGCCCAAGAGUUCAUAUCGACGGCGGUGUUUGGCACCUCGAUGUCGGCUCAUCUCAUCCUGGGGCUGUAGCCGGUCCCAAGGGUAUGGCUGUUCGCCAUUUAAAGAGGUACGUGAGCUGGGUUUAAAACGUCGUGAGACAGUUUGGUCCCUAUCUGCCGUGGGCGUUGGAUAUUUGAAGGGGGCUGCUCCUAGUACGAGAGGACCGGAGUGGACGAACCUCUGGUGUACCGGUUGUCACGCCAGUGGCAUCGCCGGGUAGCUAUGUUCGGAAGAGAUAACCGCUGAAAGCAUCUAAGCGGGAAACUCGCCUUAAGAUGAGAUAUCCCUGGGGACUAGAUCCCCUUGAAGGGUCGUUCGAGACCAGGACGUUGAUAGGUCAGGUGUGUAAGCGCAGUAAUGCGUUCAGCUAACUGAUACUAAUUGCCCGUAAGGCUUGAUCCU
This 2881-nucleotide ribosomal RNA is filed under the name Burkholderia cenocepacia. Its description in RNAcentral is "23S ribosomal RNA". It matches the Rfam family "Bacterial large subunit ribosomal RNA". Lineage: Bacteria; Pseudomonadati; Pseudomonadota; Betaproteobacteria; Burkholderiales; Burkholderiaceae. The record is from RNAcentral.